AUUGAACGCUGGCGGCAUGCCUUACACAUGCAAGUCGAACGGCAGCAUGGGGGCAACCCUGGUGGCGAGUGGCGAACGGGUGAGUAAUACAUCGGAACGUGCCCAGUAGUGGGGGAUAGCCCGGCGAAAGCCGGAUUAAUACCGCAUACGACCUACGGGUGAAAGCGGGGGAUCGCAAGACCUCGCGCUAUCGGAGCGGCCGAUGUCAGAUUAGGUUGUUGGUGGGGUAAAAGCCCACCAAGCCGACGAUCUGUAGCUGGUCUGAGAGGACGACCAGCCACACUGGGACUGAGACACGGCCCAGACUCCUACGGGAGGCAGCAGUGGGGAAUUUUGGACAAUGGGCGCAAGCCUGAUCCAGCCAUGCCGCGUGCGGGAAGAAGGCC
RNAcentral lists this ribosomal RNA (386 nucleotides) under uncultured bacterium. RNAcentral's name for it is "bacterial SSU rRNA". It matches the Rfam family "Bacterial small subunit ribosomal RNA", at positions 29 to 416 of the family's 1533-position model. The record is from RNAcentral.